Molecule: RNA transcript, 1662 nt
Organism: Drosophila erecta
Lineage: Eukaryota; Metazoa; Arthropoda; Insecta; Diptera; Drosophilidae
Gene name: alaserpin
Exons: 4
Source: RefSeq, a predicted model, not a curated record
CCACUGCAAUUACAUAAAUUUAUGAAAUCGAGCAGACCUCAUCCACGGUUGAUUUGGAUACUUACAGCUUGCUGGUUGCUCCCCCUGCUCGGCCUAGUCCUCUCCCCGUUUCCAACGGUCCACUCGGCUGACGUCACCAUGGCCGACGCCGCCCACCAGGAGUUCGCCCGCCGGUUGGCCCUCUUUUCCAUCAACGUGUACAGCAAGCUGUCGGCGCAUAAGCCCGGCGAGAACAUCGUCUUCUCGCCCUUUUCCAUCCAGACCUGUGCGGCGAUGGCCAGGCUGGGCGCAGAAAUGGAGACGGCCACACAACUGGACCAAGGACUGGGUCUGGCCACCAGUGACCCAGAACAAAUUGCACAGAGUUUCCACCAGGUGCUGGCCGCCUACCAGGACAGCCAGAUCCUGCGCAUCGCCAACAAGAUUUUCGUGAUGGAGGGCUACCAGCUGCGUCAGGAGUUUGACCAGUUGUUGUCCAAGCAGUUCCUCUCGGCGGCUCAGAGCGUGGACUUUGCCAAAAAUGUCCAAGCAGCGGCCACCAUCAACAACUGGGUCGAGCAGCGCACCAACCACCUGAUCAAGGACCUUGUGUCGGCUGACGUACUGAACUCCGAUUCGCGACUGGUCCUUGUGAACGCCAUCCACUUCAAGGGCACCUGGCAGCACCAGUUCUCCAAGCACUUGACGCGCCCGGACACCUUUCACCUGGAUGGCGAGCGAACCGUUCAGGUUCCGAUGAUGAGUAUUAAGAAGCGGCUACGCUACGCCGAUCUGACGGCGCUAGAUGCCAAGGCCCUGGAACUGCCCUACAAGGACUCAGACCUAUCUAUGCUGAUCGUUCUGCCCAACACCAAGACGGGUCUGCCCGCACUAGAGGAGAAGCUGCGCCUCACUCCCCUUUCGCAGAUCACGCAGGCGUUGCACGAAACCAUGGUGGCACUCAAACUGCCCAGGUUCAAGGCGGAGUUCCAAGUGGAGUUGACUGAGGUUUUCCAGGAGUUGGGCAUGUCAAGGAUGUUCACCGAUCAGGCUCAAUUCGGAAAAAUGCUGCAAAGUCCGGAGCCCUUGAAAGUGUCAGCCGUCAUACACAAGGCCUUCAUAGAAGUAAACGAAGAGGGAACGGAGGCUGCGGCCGCCACGGGAAUGGUCAUGUGCUUCGCCUCCAUGCUCUCGUACGAACCACAGCCCGUCCAAUUCCAUGUACAGCAUCCAUUUAACUAUUACAUAAUCAAUAAGGAUUCUACAAUUUUGUUUGCGGGCAGAAUCAAUAGGCUUUGAAGUUAGCACUCCAUCAAAAUCCACCCGUCACAACCAUUGAACUGAAUUUCAAUGCAAUCCCAAUCCGCAGGACUCAGCAGCUCUCUUCGCUGGCGGCAUCAAGAAAAUCUAAAUAAGCACGGGCACCUUCUACUAACCAAUCCACCAUGUCACUCGAGGGUCUCGUCUUUGUUUAAUUUACACGUGGGCCAGUCCUAUAGCUGGCAUAUAUACAUAUAUAUAUAUCUAUAUCUAUAUAUCAAGCAUAAAUUCGACUUUUACAUUGCCUGUAAGGAUACACAAAACUUUAGACUGUGCGCAAUUGAUGAAUUUAUAUAUACGCUUAAUAUUUUUGUACUAACCAAGCAUGUAGCCUUAAUAAAGUCUAGAAGCAGGUGUCUAAAA